GGAAAGAUCAGGGAUAAAGAACAGAACCACAAGGUAUACAUGAAACCUUUUAUUAAACUAAGAGAAGCUCUGCUUCCGAGAAUUCAAGCUAAGCCAGGUGAUUGCCAAUUGUUCCCAGGGCAGUUGUUUCCUGACCCCCAAUUGCACGUGCAUACCCCAAUUUCAGUAACAAAAACUCACAAAACAACCUCCGAGGAGGAAUUCCUUUCUGAAGCAGAGGAGACUUCUUUUCCAACUUGGCCUGGCGCUUCUGGAGCUCAGGAAGGAUAAUUCUCUUCCUCCCAUCUCAAAGAGGAGAAAACAGAGCCUGCAACCACGACGUCUUCUUGAUUCCAGAACCUACCACACUGGGUUGUAUUCCUCUGUUUAUUCAUCUUUUUCACUCCACUGGUCUGUGAUCUUGAAGCCAGGACUAAGCCUAAUCCAUUCUGUAUUCCUGGGGCCUAGAGCUAAAUCUCACACCAGAAGGCACAGAUAACUAGCGUUUGUUAAAUGAAUGUGAGGAGCUCACAGUUUAUAUUUCUCAUCUAACAAAAAGCUUUUUCUAUUUGGAUUAAAACCUCUGGCAGGUGAAGACUUCUGAGAAGUCCCUCGGUGGAAUCCAUAGGUUCCUCUUCCCCCAUUCUUUCUCACCUCCCUGCAGUAUCCCAGGAACUCCAUCCCGGGGAGUUUUGGCUUUUGAAAACUUUUGUGUCUCUGUUCGUGUAUAGAAAGUGUGUGCGUGGAUGGUGGUGGUAUAUCUGUGAGAAAAUGCCAUGUUUCAUUAAAGUUCUGUUGGAAAAUAUUUCCCUCAAUUGUACUCAGAAACUAACAACUUCAAAUGCUUGCUUAUAGUCUUGAUAAAAAUAAACAUACUUUUGUUGGCCAUGA
This is a long non-coding RNA of Canis lupus familiaris (dog), 870 nucleotides long. RefSeq lists it as uncharacterized. Lineage: Eukaryota; Metazoa; Chordata; Mammalia; Carnivora; Canidae. The transcript has 2 exons. The record is from RefSeq and is a predicted model, not a curated record.